UCGGAGUCGGGCUGCUCGGGCGCCCACCUCCCACCCGUGACUACCUAACACUGUUGCUUCGGCGGGGAGCCCUCUCGGGGGCGAGCCGCCGGGGACUACUGAACUUCAUGCCUGAGAGUGAUGCAGUCUGAGUCUGAAUAUAAAAUCAGUCAAAACUUUCAACAAUGGAUCUCUUGGUUCCGGCAUCGAUGAAGAACGCAGCGAACUGCGAUAAGUAAUGUGAAUUGCAGAAUUCAGUGAAUCAUCGAGUCUUUGAACGCACAUUGCGCCCCCUGGCAUUCCGGGGGGCAUGCCUGUCCGAGCGUCAUUGCUGCCCAUCAAGCCCGGCUUGUGUGUUGGGUCGUCGUCCCCCCCGGGGGACGGGCCCGAAAGGCAGCGGCGGCACCGUGUCCGGUCCUCGAGCGUAUGGGGCUUUGUCACCCGCUCGAUUAGGGCCGGCCGGGCGCCAGCCGACGUCUCCAACCAUUUUCUUCAGGUUGACCUCGGAUCAGGUAGGGAUACCCGCUGAACUUAAGCAUAUCAAUAAGCCGGAGGAA
RNAcentral lists this ribosomal RNA (536 nucleotides) under Ascomycota sp. 3/5/2002. RNAcentral describes it as "eukaryotic LSU rRNA". The stretch from base 154 to 307 matches the Rfam family "5.8S ribosomal RNA". Lineage: Eukaryota; Fungi; Ascomycota. The record is from RNAcentral.